UACGGAGGGGGCUAGCGUUGUUCGGAAUUACUGGGCGUAAAGCGCGUGUAGGCUGCUUCGAAAGUCGGAUGUGAAAGCCCUGGGCUCAACCUAGGAAGUGCACUCGAAACUUCGAAGCUGGAGUCCUGGAGAGGAAGGCGGAAUUCUCGGUGUAGAGGUGAAAUUCGUAGAUAUCGAGAGGAACACCGGUGGCGAAGGCGGCCUUCUGGACAGUGACUGACGCUGAGACGCGAAAGCGUGGGGAGCAAACAGG
RNAcentral lists this ribosomal RNA (253 nucleotides) under uncultured bacterium. Its description in RNAcentral is "partial 16S ribosomal RNA". It matches the Rfam family "Bacterial small subunit ribosomal RNA", at positions 524 to 776 of the family's 1533-position model. The record is from RNAcentral.